This 490-nucleotide ribosomal RNA is filed under the name uncultured bacterium. RNAcentral describes it as "partial 16S ribosomal RNA". It matches the Rfam family "Bacterial small subunit ribosomal RNA", at positions 30 to 507 of the family's 1533-position model. The record is from RNAcentral.
AUUGAACGCUGGCGGCAGGCCUAACACAUGCAAGUCGAACGGUAACAGGAAGCAGCUUGCUGCUUUGCUGACGAGUGGCGGACGGGUGAGUAAUGUCUGGGAAACUGCCUGAUGGAGGGGGAUAACUACUGGAAACGGUAGCUAAUACCGCAUAACGUCGCAAGACCAAAGAGGGGGACCUUCGGGCCUCUUGCCAUCGGAUGUGCCCAGAUGGGAUUAGCUAGUAGGUGGGGUAACGGCUCACCUAGGCGACGAUCCCUAGCUGGUCUGAGAGGAUGACCAGCCUCACUGGAACUGAGACACGAUCCAGACUCCUACGGGAGGCAGCAGUGGGGAAUAUUGCACAAUGGGCGCAAGCCUGAUGCAGCCAUGCCGCGUGUAUGAAGAAGGCCUUCGGGUUGUAAAGUACUUUCAGCGGGGAGGAAGGGAGUAAAGUUAAUACCUUUGCUCAUUGACGUUACCCGCAGAAGAAGCACCGGCUAACUCCGUG